RNAcentral lists this unclassified non-coding RNA (4551 nucleotides) under Daphnia pulex (common water flea). Its description in RNAcentral is "vitellogenin receptor-like, transcript variant X2". The record is from RNAcentral. Lineage: Eukaryota; Metazoa; Arthropoda; Branchiopoda; Diplostraca; Daphniidae.
AAAUUGGUGUGAGUAGUUUUUGUUUUGGCAGGUCUUGGACGACGCAGUUUCGACUACAAUAUUAACUUCCUCCCCACACUGUUUUUGUUAGCCCUCAUUUCGAUUGUUUUGCUGCCACUUUCUUGUCACCAAUUAGUCUUAUUUAACGAUACACUACACCCUGGUGGUGAUAAUGGACGCCAGUCCAAUGCUAGCGACCCCCGCGCCACCGCGCGGCUGCGUCCAUAGCAACACCUAUUAUUAAAAAAAAAAAAAAAAACGAUACACUACACUACUGAAUGCACAAAUUUGCGAAUUUUGCAUGUAAAAAAGUGAUCAUCUUACUCAACUAGUAUAGUUUUUUGUGCUUUCAGUGAAAUGAGAUCUGCCAGUCAGUAACAAGGUGGAUGCUCCAUUAUGUCGAGGAACAAUGAAGAAGACGACAAAGAUGAGUUGGAAGCUUUGUGUUUGGCUGCCCUCAAAAGUUUGUGUGCAAAAAGACUUCCUCCACCUAUUGUGUUGCAAGGCCAGCGUUUGUCACCCAAACACAAUGUUUGCAGCACUGCAGGCUUUCAGCGUCAUUUUGGCAAUCACAAUUUGAUAGCCAUCAAUCCAGUAGAGAACAAUUCUGCAAGUUCCUUACCUUACCAGAAUUCAUCUCCUCGGAUAACAACUGAUUAUUCAGAUUCAACUUCACUAGGACGUUGUAUGGCCUAACACUGAAUUGCCCAUCAAACACAUUCCACUGUGAGGGUCAAGUGUGCAUCCCUCAAAAUUGGGUACGUGAUGGCAUGGAUGAUUGAUCUGAUGUGAGGAACGAGAUAAAUUAUAACACAACAACAGAGUGCAAAAAUGGAUUUCAAUGUGGAAAAGAAUGCAUCUUAAACCAGUGGGUCUGUGAUGGUGUCAAAGCCUGUGCUGAUGGGUCCCAUGAAAAAAAAAUGUGUUCCACACAUUGGUUCUGCUGGCAUGGAUGGAUCGCAGCUGACAAACAGAAUCAAAAAGACAUUAUCUGGCCUAAUAGAUUGGUUGUGGAUGAAACCAUUCAACGCAUUUAUUGGGGAGACGCUAAACUUAAUCGCAUUGAAAGUUCGAGGAUUGAUGGAUCAGAUCGUAAUAUCCUUCCCGUUAAAGUGACCCAUCAGUACACUCUCAACAUCUUUGAAAACAACAUUUUUUGGUGCGAUCCUCUGGAGCAUGAAGUUCUUUCCGUCAACAAGUUUACCGGCAAGGAUUACAAGAUUUUAAUCAAGGAAGCUUCACUAACUCCAACUGGCAUCCACGUUCAUCAUCCUUCCAAGCAAAGCCAUCUCACCGACCCCUGCCGAAACGUGAUUUGUAACCAUCUCUGUCUUCUUUCAUCAACCGUUCAAGGCUACAAUUGCGCCUGCCCUGUUGGUAUGACUUUGAACAAAGACGUCCGUACCUGCGAGUUUAUUUCCGCCCAUGACUCUUCCAUCGUCAUCGCAACUUUCACAUACAUUUAUCGCUUGACUCAUCACCAAAUUGGCAAAGAUACCAUCCUUCGUCUGCCUACGCGUAACAUGGAAAACAUCGGACCCCCUUUGAUGUAAGUUCUUCCUCUCAAUUUUUCUUUUUGGGUGCUGCCUGCGUUUUGCGAUAAUUGUACAUUCUGGUCAUGCGCGAUGCUGCAUCUACAGUAAAUUGAAAUUUAAGAAUGAAAAACAAUUAUAAAUUAAGAACGGAAACUUUUUCCCUUACCAUUGGAAACGACAGAGAGGAAACCCUUGGCGUUUGGUUCUUUCGAUUGCGGAAUAACGUUUGACGAAUGAUAUUCAUCAAUUAAUACUAGCAACUGCUGACCAGUAAAAAUGCCAAAGUUCUUCGGAACCCCGAAAAAACUGUCAUCGGUUGUUUUUUCAGAUACCUCUAGUCCGUAAGUCAUGAAAAUGACGGACGACGGUUCGAUGCCAGCAUUCUGUAAUUUCUUCAAAUUCGCCGCCUAAUUAAAAAAAAAUUAGUAACUAAUAAUAAGAAUAACUUACAGUUACUUACAUAAUUAGCUAUCUUGGCAUUGUAAUCGCCGGGACAAUUCAUCAUAUAGCCGACUUUCCAAUUUUCGGCGUAAUGGUAAGCAAAAAGAUAGGAAACAUAACCCAAUGGCAGAUGUAGAUCUUCUUCGCCGGGUGCUGAACGAUCAUGUUUAACCUGACGUUCUUCGGUGCUCAAAAUUGAUCCGCGACCACCAGCUUCUUGAAUUAUGUGAAUUUCAUAAUCCAGUCCAGUUUGCUCACGAAGAAAAGCUUUAAUUUGCCUGAAAUAAUUAAAACAACAGUUAUUAAGUGAACGACAUGACAUGUAUAAGUGAAAAAUUACGGAGAAUUUUCGACAACAGUGUCUUGUAACUUUUUAAAAAAAGAAACAGGAAUCGCUUUUCCGGAUGAGGAUCUCGUGGUAAGAACUACGCAAAAUACAUUUGCGGACGACUGGAGAAGACUAAGGGGAGGUACAACCCAUUUUCCAGUGGUUUUUAUUGGUGGACCAAAUUCUUUGCAUCCAAUGCAAAUAUGACGAAACAUGUCCACAUUAUCCACUUGCCCUUGAUGACCAUCGUCCUGGCACCAGACACCCAAGCCUUCCUUAUUUACGUCAAUCACUCCGAUGACUCCGCCAAUUGGAGUGCGGAAGCCACUUUCCAUUUUCGGAAGACGUGAAAUGGGACCUUUUUUCCCUGUCACUAUGAAUUAGCGAUUUUUCUCGUUAUCAACAAUGGAUCGGGACAAGGGAGCGAAUGGACGUGUUUCCUAUUUCAUCAGCGAGAGGAACGAAGCUGUCAAAUUCGGGAUCUUUCCUGACGGAAUGUUGUACGUCAAGAGUAAGCUGGAUCGCGAAGCCAAAGAUUAUAACGCCCUGACGGUGGUGGCCGAGGACGGAGGGAUGCCGCCAAGGAGUUCGUCCGUCUCGGUCACGAUCUACAUCAUCGAUAUGGAACGACAACCCGCCAAUUUUCAAUGACGAAACUUUCUCCUUUUACAUUCCGGAAAACGAGGCAACGGAUUCUUACGUCGGCCGUAUGACAGCCACGGAUCGCGACGUGGGUCGCAACGCCGAACGGACAUUUUCGAUCGCCACAUCGUAAAGUGAUUUCAGCAUCUAUCCAAAGAACGGCUUCAUCAAAACGCUGCGCUAUUUCGAUCGUGAGCGACUGCUCCAAACCACCGGGCAGGAUUACAUCGUCCUGGAGGUUGUCGUCUCUGUCAAUGGCGUGAUCCGAUUGCGGGACAGAGCCCGGAUUCACGUCUUCAUUCUCGAUAUCAACGACAACGCUCCCGCCUUUUCAAUGUCCCCUGAAAGAGUCCCUAAAUGAAAGAAUUCCAGCAACGAGUCCAGGCUCUGGAGAAUAACAUCACUCAAAUGGAGAACAACCAAGUUGAAAAAAACUUGAAGAUAGCUAAUUUAACUUCCCUGCAGGACAACCACACUAGAAUAAGCAAAAUCCGUCAUCCGGCUGUCGAAAAAGAUAUAGAAAUAGGCCAGAAGGAGCAAGCUGUGGCGGAAGCUGAGAUGCAGAUGGCCACCCUGAAGCACAAGAUGGUGGAUCUUCAACAAGAGAUACAUUCUCGAGCCAUUCGAUCAGGUGUUCGAUUCCUUGAAUUCGACAGAACAACAACAACAUACUGCCCUCGCUGCCUAAUUGGCAGCCUACGUCCGUGAGCGCCAGGAUCUUACCGAGAUUGUACAAAGUCUAAAAAACGAGCUGUUGGCCUAUCAAAAUGACAUUGGCGAGCCGACAGAUUACACGACAUGGAAAGUACGGUAUGAAAAAUCACAAGAAAAAGAUGAGCGUAUGGAUAAAGAACUACAGCGUCACAAGGCGGAGAUUCGCAGCUGGAAGAAACAAGCAGAAACGAGUUUCAACUGGUCUAUGCGUGCAGGUGAUCAUGAAGUGUGAAACCUACAAAAAGGAGUUGACUACGUUGACGACAAAGUUUGGCAGAUUCAACCAAUGCCUGUGAUUUGUUACGUACGCCGCUUGAAGAGAUGACUGGGAGAGAUUUUUGCGAUGAGCCAAAAAGAGCUGCUCAAUCUGAGCAAUUGGUCGGCUAGCAGUAAACGUCAACAAGCGUUGCAGCAUUCCAUCCUGCAAAGCAGAGAAUUGUCUCGUAUUCUUUCGCAAUCGCUGAUGAUUGGCGUCAAUCACGACGCCCAGCAACAACAUUCGAGCAGUUCGCUCUCUACUACUAGCAGCAAUUGGAGCUCUCAUAGCAGCUGAAAAUGAGUCGAGAAAAGUCGUGUCGACAAACUACAUCCGCCUUGCUUAGACAUGGAAGAAAUCGGUUGCCAAGUCCAGCUGGAUCUCUCGACGGCCAACGAACCAUCUCGCAAGAUGUUGGUGGAUCAAUUGCGUGAAAUGGUCAAGAAGUAGGAAGACUAGGUCAAGCAGCGCGAUGAAGAAAUUGCUCGAAUGAAAAUUACCAACAACACCGUGGCUAACAAUAAUUCCAUGCAGACAGAUCGACUUUUAAAUUUUCUCUUCGUAUUUUUGUCAUAUAAUUUCACACCACUUUUAUUUUGUAAACAUAUAACAUGUAAAAAUAAAUGUUGAGGAGA